This is a long non-coding RNA of Eublepharis macularius, 557 nucleotides long. RefSeq lists it as uncharacterized. The transcript is spliced from 3 exons. The record is from RefSeq and is a predicted model, not a curated record. Lineage: Eukaryota; Metazoa; Chordata; Lepidosauria; Squamata; Eublepharidae.
UUAAGGAUUACCAGAGUAAAUUAACACAAGCUUUCAAGUCCUCCAACCCUUCAUCAGGCUGGAAACAAAAGAAAGCCCAGUGUGAGCAGUUGUAAUCUUAAAGUGGGUGACAGGAUGUGCCGCCAAGGAUGUUGGAUGCAAAAUGGGUGUUUCUGGUUGCACCAAGUUUCUGGGACAAAGAGAGAAACGGUGAGAUGGUGUGGUAGAAGAGGUUCACCUCCCAGAGUGGAUCUGUGAAGAUGCUUUGUCAGAAGUCAAAAAAAAACCACCUGCCUCUGGAGCUGACCUUCCCUGGAAAAUUGUAUUCCCCCUUCCAGGUUCCUGAGGCAAAUUAAAGCUGCAAGAGCCUGCAAUAUACAUUUUAUAGAUGGAUGGCAAUGUAUGAUACUUGGCACACUUAUCUGAACCCUUAGCAGAAAGAAUUUGGGGUACCCGAGAUAUCAUGGAUGGGGGAAAGAAAACAAUUUCAAAAUUCCUCCUGCCCCAAUCCACUCCCUGCUGGAUUCUAAGCUUUCAGGGGCUCAAGCUGGCCAAAUGUGUUACCUCCCAUUUUCCAC